AACAACCGUGAUUCCGGGAGUAGUGGCGAGCGAAACUGGAUGAGGCUAAACCGUAUACGUGUGAGACCCGGCAGGGGUUGCGUAUGCGGGGUUGUGGGAGUGUGCUUGAUCGGUCUGCCGGCCGGUCGGAGAGUCAGAAACCGUUGAUGUAGGCGAAGGACAUGCGAAAGGUCCGGCGUAGAGGGUAAGACCCCCGUAGUCGAAACAUCAGCGGCUCUCUUGCGUAUUUCCCAAGUAGCACGGGGCCCGAGAAAUCCCGUGUGAAUCUGGCGGGACCACCCGCUAAGCCUAAAUAUUCCCUGGUGACCGAUAGCGGAUAGUACCGUGA
Molecule: non-coding RNA, 328 nt
Filed under: Streptomyces viridochromogenes
Lineage: Bacteria; Bacillati; Actinomycetota; Actinomycetes; Kitasatosporales; Streptomycetaceae
Description: bacterial LSU rRNA
Rfam family: Bacterial large subunit ribosomal RNA
Source: RNAcentral